UAGCCUAGUGGCUAAGGCUUUGGGUCGCCAAUCCGGAGACGGCGGGUUCGAUUCCCGU
Non-coding RNA from Aedes albopictus (Asian tiger mosquito), 58 nucleotides. The record is from Rfam. Lineage: Eukaryota; Metazoa; Arthropoda; Insecta; Diptera; Culicidae.